RNAcentral lists this transfer RNA (68 nucleotides) under Ageneiosus pardalis. RNAcentral describes it as "tRNA-Cys". It matches the Rfam family "tRNA". From Rfam's summary of the family: Transfer RNA (tRNA) molecules are approximately 80 nucleotides in length. Their secondary structure includes four short double-helical elements and three loops (D, anti-codon, and T loops). Further hydrogen bonds mediate the characteristic L-shaped molecular structure. tRNAs have two regions of fundamental functional importance: the anti-codon, which is responsible for specific mRNA codon recognition, and the 3' end, to which the tRNAs corresponding amino acid is attached (by aminoacyl-tRNA synthetases). tRNAs cope with the degeneracy of the genetic code in two manners: having more than one tRNA (with a specific anti-codon) for a particular amino acid; and 'wobble' base-pairing, i.e. permitting non-standard base-pairing at the 3rd anti-codon position. Lineage: Eukaryota; Metazoa; Chordata; Actinopteri; Siluriformes; Auchenipteridae. The record is from RNAcentral.
AGUUCUGUGGUGUAUGUCAUAUUGGGUUGCAAACCCAAAGGCGCAGGCUCAAAUCCCUGCCGGAGCUU